This 291-nucleotide long non-coding RNA is filed under the name Coturnix japonica (Japanese quail). RNAcentral describes it as "lncRNA (ENSCJPG00005011508.1)". Lineage: Eukaryota; Metazoa; Chordata; Aves; Galliformes; Phasianidae. The record is from RNAcentral.
AUGCGUUUUAUUCCAAACACUCGACACUGGAAAACACCUUUUCCUCACUGUAAGGAGUCCAAGGUUCUCAUCAAAAGCAGGCAAAUUCUGCAGAAUGUUUUGCCUUUGAGAGAAGAGCAUUUCUUCAGAAAGCAGAGCCAUAUCAGGAAGGAACGUGCCAGUUGCCUACAUACAUACACAGGAUGGGCGUUCGAUUGUAAUUGCACCUACAGCUACUUCUUUCUCUUGAGCCUCACCUUCCAGACCUGAGCCUGGUGUUACAGCCCAUCCCCUACGCUCUGUCUAAUGCUG